This 445-nucleotide ribosomal RNA is filed under the name uncultured bacterium. Its description in RNAcentral is "partial 16S ribosomal RNA". It matches the Rfam family "Bacterial small subunit ribosomal RNA", at positions 354 to 796 of the family's 1533-position model. The record is from RNAcentral.
GUGAGGAAUAUUGGACAAUGGAUGGAAAUCUGAUCCAGCCAUGCCGCGUGCAGGAAGACGGCCCUAUGGGUUGUAAACUGCUUUUAUACGGGAGCAAUAAGGUCUAUGCAUAGAUUGAUGAGAGUACCGUAUGAAUAAGCAUCGGCUAACUCCGUGCCAGCAGCCGCGGUAAUACGGAGGAUGCGAGCGUUAUCCGGAUUUAUUGGGUUUAAAGGGUGCGUAGGCGGCUUUGUAAGUCAGCGGUGAAAUUUUGCAGCUUAACUGUAAAAGCGCCAUUGAUACUGUGAAGCUAGGAUUUGGUUGCUGUGGGCGGAAUGUGUGGUGUAGCGGUGAAAUGCAUAGAGAUCACACAGAAUAUCGAUUGCGAAGGCAGCUCACAAAGCCAAUAUUGACGCUGAGGCACGAAAGUGUGGGGAUCAAACAGGAUUAGAUACCCGGGUAGUCC